RNAcentral lists this ribosomal RNA (450 nucleotides) under uncultured Glomeromycotina. RNAcentral describes it as "SSU rRNA". It matches the Rfam family "Eukaryotic small subunit ribosomal RNA", at positions 569 to 1026 of the family's 1831-position model. Lineage: Eukaryota; Fungi; Glomeromycota. The record is from RNAcentral.
AGCAGCCGCGGUAAUUCCAGCUCCAAUAGCGUAUAUUAAAGUUGUUGCAGUUAAAAGCUCGUAGUUGAAUUUCGAGAUCAAUUUAUUGGUCGUGCUAUUGUACGUACUGGUAUUAUUGAUUUCUACCUUCUGACUAACCAUGAUGUCAUUAAUUUGGUGUCAUGGGGAAUCAGGACUGUUACUUUGAAAAAAUUGAGUGUUUAAAGCAGGCUCACGCUUGAAUACAUUAGCAUGGAAUAACGAAAUAGGACGUUUGAUUCUAUUUUGUUGGUUUCUAGGAUCGACGUAAUGAUUAAUAGGGAUAGUUGGGGGCAUUAGUAUUCAAUUGUCAGAGGUGAAAUUCUUGGAUUUAUUGAAGACUAACUACUGCGAAAGCAUUUGCCAAGGAUGUUUUCAUUAAUCAAGAACGAAAGUUAGGGGAUCGAAGACGAUCAGAUACCGUCGUAGUCU